GCUGGGCAUGGUGGCGCGUGCCUGUAGUCCCAGCUACGCGGGAGGCUGAGGCACAAGAAUCGCUUGAGCCCCAGAGGCAGAGAUUGCAGUGAGUCAAGAUUGCACCACUGCACUCUAGCUUGGGCUACAGAGUGAGACUCUGUCUCAA
This is an unclassified non-coding RNA of Pongo abelii (Sumatran orangutan), 148 nucleotides long. It matches the Rfam family "Metazoan signal recognition particle RNA". From Rfam's summary of the family: The signal recognition particle (SRP) is a universally conserved ribonucleoprotein. NCBI's taxonomy places the organism in Eukaryota, Metazoa, Chordata, Mammalia, Primates, Hominidae. The record is from Ensembl.